GCUGUAAGCAACUUGAGGACAAGGACCAGUCUGGGUCAUCUAUGUACUUCCCCUGACACCAUGGAAAGCGCCUCAUGUAUCAGAGCUGAAAUGAGCUCACUGAUCUUCCUUGAAUGUGCUGGGCUGGGCAAAACAAUGCAUACUACCCUGUGUAUACUCUGGGAAUAAAGCUCUACCCCCAUGGAAUCGCUGCCUACUGGAAGUGCUGUCCCCAAGAGCAGUGGCAGGAUGACAACACUCUCCCAGCCACAUUCCCUCCAUGGCCUGCAACAGGGCCCAAGGUGUGCACUCACUCAGUGACAGUGUCUUGGAACCAGACCCACAGCUCUGCACCUGAUGGGGCCUGCAGGAAGGGUGGCCCCCAGUAUCGGGUCCUCCAAAAGCCUUGUGUGAAUGACAGGUGCAGCUCCCGUAGAGAAUACUUGGAGAUCAGCUGCCCCAGGGCUUUGGGAAAGAGCCUGUAAUGGGACACUGGGGAAACGGGAGCAGGUGAGUGACGAUCCCCACCUCGUCGGGGUCCACACCCAGGAUCCCGAACUCUACCCAGGAAUUAGGCCCCGCCCCCAAAGUUUGCCUUCAUCCCACGGCCGGCCAGCCAGCAGGCACUACGGAAAUCUUUCCCUGGUCAGAUCUCGCGCCCUCACCUCCUUCCCGCUGAAGCUCCGAAUCCCAGCGCGUGCGGAACUGGAAUGUGGCGGCUACGUCCCCGGAAGGCAGCGGGGUGAUGACAAGUUCCUCCCGCAGGCUGUCGCGUGGGGGUUCUGCAAGGCACCAGCCGCCGGGCCCCAGGAGCAACAGGACGAGCAGAGCAAGCGGCAUAGCCGCCGCCAUGCCUGCGGCUACUUCCGCCUACCCAGCGGCGCUCGGCCCCAUGAAAAGCCGGUAUCCAAUAAGAAAGGCGUGUGAGAAGUGACUUCCGCUGUCGUCCCGGAAACCGGGAUGCGGUUAUCAGAGCGACCGCCUGCGCAGGUCGCGAAGAUUCCCUCAGAGCUGGUGGGUCUAAGGGGGUACUGGGAGGACACGAGAGGGAGUAGGCAGGGCGAGUAACCAGCUUGAGGCCGCACCUAGUUCAUGGCGUAUUCCACCCACCAGGAAAUGCUUAAUAAUAUGAAGCUCCUUCACUGCCAUUUUACCCAUUUGAUAGUUGAGGAAACAUUGACUGAAAAAGAUCAAUUACUUUUGGGAAAACCAUUGUGGUUUUAAUUUGCAUUUCCCAAAGUAAGAGGAACCUCCUGCCCCUCUUAGCUUCUAGUGUCUCCAUUUGCUGCAAAACCCCCAAAUAAGUGGUUCUUUUAUUACGAAAAUGUUCAAACAAAAUUGAAAGAAUGAGCACCUGUUACAAUAAACCUAUUUUCCACCACCUAGAUUCUACUAUUUACAUUAUACUAUACUUGUACUUUACCACAUAUUUGUCUAUACAUCCAUCAUUCCAUCUUGUGUUUUGGUGCACUUCAAAGUAAAUUGCAGACAUUAGUACACUUUCCUUUAAGUAGUUAAGCAUGCAUAUAAUUAACUAGAGUUCAGUAUUCGAUUGCAUUUUGAUGUAAAAUUCACAUACAGUGAAAUGCACAAAUCCAAAGUACACAUUCACUGAGUUUUGACAAAUGCACACACCUAUGUAACCCGAACUCCUAUCAUGAUACAGAACAUUCCUAAAACCCCAGAAAAUUAGCAAUACCCUUUCCUAGUCAAUCCCUGCUCCUCUAUCACCUUCCAGAGGCAGUUAGUACCCUGAUUUUUUCCCACAAUAGAUUAAUCUGUUCCAGAACUAAAUAUAAAUGAAAUCAUAUAGUAUGUAUACUGUGUAAGGCUUUUUUUUUUCUCAUGGGAAGAAUGUUUUUGAGAAUCAUCCAUGUUCUUGCAUGUAUCCACAAUUCUUUUUAUUACUGCGUAGUAUUAUUAAUUUAUCCAUUCAACUCUUGAUGGGCACUUUUAAAGUUUUUGGUUAUUAUUAACAAGGCUGCUGUCUGUGCAAGCUCCUUUGUAGACGUAUAUUUCUCAUAUCCUUUGGCCAGGUAUUUAAGAGUGGAAUUGCUGGGUCAGAGAGCAGGUGUAUGUUUAAUUUUAUAAGAAACUGUCAGACCUUUCUCCAAAAUGUAUCAUUUUAUGUUUCCAUAAACUAUGAGUCUCCAUUGUACCACAUCCUGGUCAGCAUUUGAAGUUUCUAAUUUUUUGUACUUUUUAGUUUUGACCACUUGGGUAUGUAUGUAGUGUUUGCUCAUUGUGGUUUUAAUUUGCAUUUCCCUGGUAACUAAAAAUGUUAAGCAUCUGUUCAUGUGCUUAUUUGCCAUUUAUUUUUUAAUUUAAUUUUUAUUUUUUUGUGAAAGGUCUGUUAAAGUCUUCUGCACCCUCACCCCUUUGUUUACUGGCUUGUCUUUUUAUUGACUUUUUCGGAGUUCCAAAGUUAAAGUCAUGCUUUAGUUUUUCCACCUGCCCUAUGGGAAACACAUUCAUGAAGGAUUUCAUGAACAGUCUCUUGGUGACACUCAUGACCACACUUCUAGAAAGAGCCAAUUUGGUGUCAGGCAGGUCUGCCAAGAUAUGCGCCAACCAACCAGACAUUUCCAGAAAGGAAAUGUCAGAAAGAUGUCUUUAUCUCAUUAUGCCUUCAUUCUGCCUGCAUUCAGUGUUCCUGCCCCAUUAGACACGAAAUAUUAGGAAGGCCAUGGGCUUAGAUGUCAGAAAGACAGGAGUCCAAAUCCCUAUGCCAGCCUUUAAUCCAUAUGAGCAUGAUCAACCCAAGUGUCACUUUUCUUCAUUUGUAUAAUGAAGAAACCUACUUUCAAGGUUGUUGUUAAGAUGAGAAAUUAUGUACAUGUAGGAUAUGGAAUGUAGCAAGUGCUUAAUAGUAACACUCAACCCUGUCACCUAGGCACUAAUAUGUAAAUGUAGAUAAUAGUGCCUAAGUGAUAGGGUUGCUUGAGUGUUAUUAUUAAGAAGUACAUAAACUAAGAUAAUAAAGAUUACAAUGAGUGAUGGAGCUAGGACUAUAGUCUACACUAUCAAACCUCAAAAUAAUACUUUUUUAAAGGUAGCUGCCAUCAUUAUGACUAUUUUGUACUUCUCUGUUUUCCUUUUGAAAUUGCCCAUCUCCAUCAUUCAGGACCCAGCCACCUCUAGUGAAGACUUACCUUCUCCUCCUCUAGUGGUCUACAGGCUUCAUGUACUUCUGCUACAUCUCUCAUCACAUUGUUUCCAUUACCUGUGUCUGUGUCUGCUCCUGGAAGAGCUCAUGGUCACCUUAGUAUUUCUGUUGCCUAAGCAAGGUGACUGUCACAUAGUAGGUGCUCAGUAAUGUGUGAAUGAAUGAACAAACAAGAUGACAUCAUAGCACAGUUCUGUAUUUUCCCUACUCUGCCAUGCUGUUCAGUGUCAAGUUCUGUGCACUCCUGGGGUUGCUACAGUGUAAGCCUUCUAAGGAAACUUUUUCUGAGCUGUGGUGCCUCCUUUCCGAAGUGUGUCAGGAUGUCCACCCUAUGACAAGUCCGUGCAAAUAUCAGAAGCCACGCUGUAGCUUGGAGACUGAAAGCUGGGCUCCUUGACUUAGAGUUGGCUCCAGAUCUUCCUCCCACCUCCAAAGGCACUGUGUGGCCUCAAAAACCAGACAGCUAGGCUCUGGGCUGCCAUAAACCACGGUUUAACUUUAAUGCAACACUAUAAUCAAAUGGUGAAUCUGAAGAUUAUCAUUUUUUUAAAAAGUGACCAUAUUGAAUAUGGUGUUUUAUAGUCUACUCUUUCUUUCAAGAGUUAUCAUAAAUGUCUUUCCACUAAAAAUAUGUGGUGGGUAGAUGAUACAAUCUUGGUACUAUUUUGAUGAUUUUUUAAGCUGUAUGAUGAGAACCUGGGAUAUUUUUCUUUCUAUAUUUGUUGUACGUUUGAAACCCCCAUAAGUUUUUUUAAAAAAACAAAGAAACAAAAAACAGUCAGCUGGAGAUGAUGGUUCUGAAGGCCAGCCAAGCCCCUGUGGUUCGGCAGGAGAAAAGGUUAUUGUCCCAACUAGGAAGUAGUCCUGGGGUCUCAGCUGACACUAGACUUUUCCAGGCAGGGCUGGGGCUCAUAGCAGCCAAACUGAAGGCUCCCCAUAGGCUCAGAAACAAUUCUACUUCUCUAGAGGGCUGUAAAUCCCUCUCUCAAGGCAGGCUCCCCACAAUCUUCGCAUCAUGUGCCUGGGCUACUAAGAGAUUUAUUGACAUGUUGACGGCAACCAAGCCAGUCUAGCUUCUCAUCGUUCACCAUGGAAGGAAGGGGGGUGAUCCUGGGAGCUGAGAAGCCCUGCACAGCAAAGCUAUUGGGAUCAUGGGCCGCAGCCCAAGAGAUGGCUCAGCCACAGUCAGACAGGAGGUAGAUAGAACCUUGCUACUCUAAAGGAAGGAAGGAGAGAAGCCACAAGAGGACAGAGAUUAUGUCUUCUAUGUGCAGCAAGGUCAUAAGCAACCCAGAAAAACCCCAAAAGUUAAUAGAGGACUGGGCCCUGGCCCAGCUCAGUGGAUGAUCUCAACUUGGACCUAGAGGCUUUUGCACAGAAGGUAUUCACUCCACAAGCUUCCUAGAGACAGGGAAUGGCUGGUGGACACUCCUACUUCCCUGGAGUUCCCACAGGUUUCUCACUAGUGUUAGGAAAAACACUUAGGAACAGAUACUUACACUGGCCUCCUGCAGGGGUGAGAGCAGGAUGGGACAAUAGGAAGACUGCAGCCUUGUCACUCAACCUUGGGUGGCACAAAAAGCUUUAGGAUUUUGGCUGAAGGUCACUGAUCCCAUGGGUGAUGUUCAAUGUAUGAAGGGAGGUGGACUGAUUUUUUUUUUUUUUUUUUGAAUGUGAGAAAUGAGUUGAUGUUCCUUAAGACUGGGUCCUAUAACCUCUUCUUUCAUUCAGCAUUCUCUCCCUGGGCAUUCUCUCCUGUCAUUCGCACCCAUGGCUUCACUUACCACCUAUACACUGAGAACUGAUCGUUUUCUUUUUCCAGCUCAAUCCUCUUAUCUAAAUUCCACAUGCAUGGGUGCAAGGGCCUACUCAACAUAUCCUCUUGGAUGUCUCAAAGACAUCUCAAACUCAACAUGUCCCAAACCAAAUUUAUGGCCUUCUUCUCAAACCUGGUCCUUUCUGAAACUCCCCAUCUGGGUGACUAGCCCUCUGUUCCAAAAAGGAUGUAAGGAGCCAGAAUGGCUGGAGUACCCCCUCACUUGACAUGCCAAGGAGUUCACGUCUAUCUGGAGACACUGAUUUGAGAGACUCUGCUGGAAGACUAUAGGAUGGUUGGCCAGGUGCAGUGGCUCACGCCUGUAAUUCCAGCACUUCGGGAGGCCAAGGUGGGUGGAUCACCUGAGGUCAGGAGUUCGAGACUAGCUUGACCAAUAUGGUGAAAUCCCGUCUCUACUAAAAAUACAAAAAUUAGCCUGGCAUGGUGGUGUGCGCCUGUAGUCCCAGCUACUCGGGAGGCUGAGAUGUGAGAAUUGCUUGAACCUGGGAGGCGGAGGUUGCAGUGUGCCGAGAUCGUGCCAUUGCACUCCAGCCUGGGCGAAAGAGUGUGACUUCAUCUUGGGGGAAAAAAAAAGAACUUCCAAAAAUUUCUUCCUAAAUGGGAAUAGACUGGCUGUGCCCUCUUUGCCCAUCCCCCAUUUCCUCUCCUGCUUUCUGCCAGUCUCAAGGUCAUGAUGGCUGGGGCUUUGACAGCCACCUUAGAUGUGAGAUAUUGCUAAGAAUGCAAACCAUGUGCAAAAGAGCAAAAAAGGAGCCCAGUGCUGAGUAACGAUGGAGCUUUCAUGUAGACCUGUACUUUUUAACUUCUAUAUGAGGAAAUAACUUUAUAUCUUAAGUCAUGAUCUUUUACUAGCUGUCAAACUGAAACCUGAUCCAGGCUUCAACGGAUUUUACAACCUGACCUUUGUCAGUCUUAACUCUCCCUUCAUUUCCUCAAAUCCAACAAUUCAGCCAAACGCAAUGUUUUUUAGCUCCUCAAGGAUAUGCUCUCUCCGUUUAAAGUCUUCACGAGCUGCUCGUUCUGCCUGGCUUACGGACUGUGCCUGGCUAACUCCCAAUCGUCCUUCAGCUAAAAACAGCUCUUCAGUGACCAUAGAAACUAGGUUAACAUGCCCCUAUUUUCUGGUACCAGAGUAGUUCCUCAUCAUGCUAUUUAUUACACUGUGAAUUGUAGUAUUUACUUGAUUUUCUCCUCCAUAAACAGUAAACUCUAUGAAGGCAGGUAUACAGUACAGCCUGUCUUGCUCAAAACUGUAUUCCAGAUGCCUAGCAUGGGUGUUCCAUAAACAUUUCUUGAAUAAAUGGAAUGAGUGAGUGAUAGGAAUAUGGGAUCGGUUAGAGAGCUAAAGACAUGUAGUGGGUUUGAUAUCUUUGCAAUAUGAAAAAUGAAGUCGAAUGGUUGGCAUAUUAUUAUUAGUUUAUUAUUUAUACC
Homo sapiens (human) is the source of this 6413-nucleotide long non-coding RNA. RefSeq lists it as uncharacterized. The record is from RefSeq and is a predicted model, not a curated record. NCBI's taxonomy places the organism in Eukaryota, Metazoa, Chordata, Mammalia, Primates, Hominidae. The transcript has 2 exons.